UUAGAUACCCUAUUAUACUGAUAAUAACCUGGAUUAUUGUUAGAUAUGUUCUUUAAAUUUAAAGAAUUUGGCGGUGGUUUAGUCUUGUUAGAGGAACCUGUUUUUGAAUCGAUAGUCCACGAAAUAUCUUACUCAUUUUUGUGAUAACAGCUUAUAUACCGUCAUUAUCAGAUAAUUUUUAAAGAAAACAAUUAUUAUAAUUUAAAUGUCACAAUUAAAUAAAAUUAGAUCAAGGUGUAGCUGAUAAGUGAGUUUAAAUGGGUUACAAUAAAAUUUAUUUAUUAUGGAGUGGCUAUGAUAAAUGUGUCAUAAAGGAGGAUUUAAUUGUAAUUGGAGUUUAACAUGCUCUAGAGAUAUUAGCUCUAAACCAUGUACAUAUCGCCCG
Molecule: ribosomal RNA, 385 nt
Filed under: Lachnopodus subacutus
Lineage: Eukaryota; Metazoa; Arthropoda; Malacostraca; Decapoda; Xanthidae
Description: partial 12S ribosomal RNA
Source: RNAcentral